GUUGCUUCUUACUGGUGAACUCUCCCUUGUUUCUAAGUGGGGGAUGUUCAUGUUUCCGAAGCAUAGAUUAAUAUCUUUGCCAGUAUUAAACAGCGCUGUGUAUUCUUUUUGUUGUUUUACUGUGCUACCUGUCUCCUGGUACAUUU
This is a small nucleolar RNA of Corylus avellana, 146 nucleotides long. RefSeq annotates it as small nucleolar RNA snoR137. The record is from RefSeq and is a predicted model, not a curated record. NCBI's taxonomy places the organism in Eukaryota, Viridiplantae, Streptophyta, Magnoliopsida, Fagales, Betulaceae.